CGAGCGUCAUUUAAACCAAUCUAGCCUCGUGCUAGGUAUUGGGCCUUUCGCCUCUGGGCGGGCCUCAAAAUCAGUGGCGGUGCCUCUGGCUCUAAGCGUAGUAAUACUUCCCGCUAUAGAUGUCAGCUGGUAUCUUGCCAGCAACCCCUAAACUUUCAAAGGUUGACCUCGGAUCAGGUAGGGAUACCCGCUGAACUUAA
Molecule: unclassified non-coding RNA, 200 nt
Filed under: soil metagenome
Description: partial contains internal transcribed spacer 2 and large subunit ribosomal RNA
Source: RNAcentral